Molecule: ribosomal RNA, 201 nt
Filed under: uncultured fungus
Lineage: Eukaryota; Fungi
Description: partial 18S small subunit ribosomal RNA
Rfam family: Eukaryotic small subunit ribosomal RNA
Source: RNAcentral
CAAAUAUCUGCCCUAUCCAACUUUCGAUGGUAGGAUAGUAGGCCUACCAUGGUUUCAACGGGUACCGGGAAUAAGGGUUCGAUUCCGGAGAGGGAGCCUGAGAAACGGCUACCACAUCCAAGGAAGGCAGCAGGCGCGCAAAUUACCCAAUCCCGAAUACGGGGAGGUAGUGACAAUAAAUAACAAUAUAGGGCCCUCUUC